CUUGGGAGCUCAGUUUUUUGAGACGUAACUCUGCCGACGCGCCUGGCCAAAUAAAGCCCUCUCCUUCCUCAACUCGGUGUCUGUGGCUCGUCCUGCUACAAUGCAUCUACCCAUACAGAUGGUGUCCGGAAUUUCAAAUAAUACUGAGUUAUGGGAAUUGCCACAGAAUGUAAACACCAUGAGAACACAGGCUUUGUCUGCCACAUUUAUUGCUGCAUUUGCAGCAUGUAGAAUGGUGACUGACAUAUAAGAAGUACCAAUUAAACAUUUGUGGAUGAGUCAAUGAAGAAACUUGUCAAAGCACUUCAAUUAAAACACAGAAACUAUAGAAAAUCAUCUGGUAAACAUGCUGAUGAUGUCCUAAACCUGAUCACUUGUCUCAAAAUUUAGAAAGUUAAUGGCUGAAGAUUCAGCAGCCAUUCUGAACUGGAAAUUACAUGUUAAGGCUGUUAUAGAAGAAAUAAAGAAAUUAAAUCUCUAUGUCCCCAAGGUAUCUCUAUACCGGCCUGGAAUGCCUAUCUCCAAACCUCCUUUACAUGAGACAGAAACAGCUUCUAUCACCUUAAAAUCUGUUACUUUAGGUUUUUUUCAUUAUGAGCAGCUAAAAUGAAUCUUACUUGAUACAGUGUGAGUGUUCAUGGAUUAGGGCAUUGUUUGAUAAGAGGAGUAAGAAAAGAAUAUAAAUUGUAUUGGCCCUGAUAUGCCACAAACAAUGAGGGCUGAAGCCAAAUUAAUCAAAGAAUAAACUCAAAUACAAAGAACAA
Homo sapiens (human) is the source of this 764-nucleotide long non-coding RNA. Ensembl annotates it as X active specific transcript. Its record names the gene XACT. NCBI's taxonomy places the organism in Eukaryota, Metazoa, Chordata, Mammalia, Primates, Hominidae. The record is from Ensembl.